AAAAUUAGCACCAAAAUUAUUUCAAUAGUUUUGUAAUCUCAACUUUGGCAUUCAAGAUUGGAUAAUAUAUUUUGACAAGUUUCACAAGAAAUUCGGCCAACCCCAUGUUUAUGGUUCCUCCCAUGAUGUCGCAUGUCAAAAGUGAUUUCUGCCUUUCAAGUUUUGCCGCCAAAACGUUUGACGCAAUUUGCAUAUUAUUCGCAAUAGAUUGGCGCCCCAGCUUCUGGGAGGCAGCAGCACAAAAAAAUUGAACCAGGGUUAUGUAGAGGCCAUGCGACACAUUUUACAAUGUUUGCCACAUUUGAUUGAUUUGUUUUGCCAGCCAUUGGCUGUGGCGCCAGAUUUUUAAGAGGGAAUCACAUAAUUGGGGACAAGGUCUACUGGGAUGCGGAAAGAUUUUUUGCAGCUGUUUUGCAUUUUCACACAUUUGAUUCAUUAGGCAAUAUAAUCAGUUUUUUUUUUUUUGGGGAAGGAGGAGACUCCAUUUGGUUUCUAUUUGAGGCGUCAGUCACAAGACCAAAUGGAAAACAUAACCCGAAAAUUCCAAUGAUAAAUGACAAUCCAAAAUGAUAGAAUUCUCUAGGCGAGAAACGAUGCAUUUUUUCUCAUGGCCCGAAAGAAAGUUGUACUGCGUUUGCUGAUGAUGAUUAGCCAAAGGUCGUGGAGCAUUAUGCAAUAUUCUGUAGGAACUGAAGUGAAAGUUUCCCUGCACUUUCGGUUUUUCUUGUUUCCUAUAGCGGGUGAAAACAUUUGCCCCCAACCGAGCAUCAUAUUCAUGAUCAUCACAUCACCAUCUCCCCAGCACCACCGACACCAUCACCUUACCACCGAGUGAUCCCAAAUGCCUAAAGAGAUCUUUAUCCGAGAAUGUUGUGUGGGCAGAGUGAGGCUCUUGAGCUGGAGCUUGAGCCCGAUACUUUGGAGAUGGCUUAUUAAAAAUUCUAAUCACAUGCAAUCACCACGGGUCUGUGGAGCUUGGCUUGACUUAGCUGGUUGGAUCUCUUUGAUUGUUGUUUCCCCCAGUUUCUUCGGUUCAGUACAAUGGCCCGAAAGUCGCCGACGGUUAUCGAUUAAUCAUCAAAUUAAAAAUUACCACUGCCAAAGAGAGCGUGGAGCGUGUCCAAAACAACAUGAAACACCUCGAAAGGCAAUUGGAGCUGCUUUUUAUUUCCAUUCUGUUGUUCUUUUUGGCACUUAAAGUACGUUGGGUCAGCCAAUUUAAACAAUAUCUAGAAUUUCGUGGCUCGAGAGGGGCGGCAAGAAAAAUAAAAACCACACGAACUUCGAUUGGAAUUAAAAGUUUUCGGCAAUUGUCUGUCUCGAUUUGGGCAAUAAAAUGUGUGGCCAGCAUGGGCUGGGGGAAGAAACGUGUGUUAUAACUAGCUAUAAGGACUGAUAAUUGCCAGAAUGGGUCGUGGGAUUAGGUAACCAAAAUAAUACGAUGGGGAGUGCUUGAAAGCUUCAAAGAAGCGUGGAAAGAUUUUGCCUAAAUCGAUUUAUUUUCGACCAAGUUACGUGAGAUUGUUAAAAAUAAAGGUUGUCCAUGUUUUUACUUUCAAGGUUAAUAAAUUUCCGUGGAAAUGCCAAAAGGGAUAGAUAAUUCCCACAGUUUGUGGUCUAAUCUCAUUGUAACCUUAUCGGAUUGCCAAUAUGUGACUCUUUCUGAUUCUUUGAAGGUUACUGGGCUGACAAACCCCUUCCCAGAAAACAAAUCAAUUGACUCAACCGCUGAAUAGGCAAAGGAACAAAUACAUUUAAGUCGUAAAUUAAUUUAAAUAUUGUGAAGAGGAGCAAAUAUGCGAAUAUUCCUCUCCGAUUGCCUUUUUUUAAAGCAUUUUUUCCACUCGUAAAUAGAGCUUUGAAAGUGCCGACAACAAUUAAACUAAGAAAUAAGUAAUAAAACGAGGACAAUAUUUUAUUCCUCUAAAAUUUAGAGCCUCUAGUGGGAAAUCAAUCGACUCAAAACACAUUAAAUGAUUCAAUUUAUUCUCUGUGUAUCAUCUUACACUUCCCUCCAGCCCUCCGGCCCUCUAGGUCUGUGUCCCUUUUCCAUUCAAAUUAAUUAAAUCAGAUUUUUCCAAAAUUUCUUAUCACAAAUUUGUCAUCAGCUUGUAAGUGGAAAGAUGCGGCUCUGCCACAUGCUGCCGCUCUGUUCAUAAUGAAGUUAAACCCCCGAUACCGAUCGCGCGACGCCCAGACAAUUAAGAAGCCCCAGAAGAAUUGCAAGCGGAGAGAGCAGCUGCAGAGCAGUCUUCCGAUCAGCUGUUCAGCUCUCUUCGCCCGAAGAGACCCAAAGCCGAAGACUACCAUAUUGUAGCCGAAGUCGAGGGGCUUUUGGAGUCUCAAGCUUGAGUCUGUGAUCAGUUCGCUUUCAGCGUUCGCCGCGAUCACAACGUUCGCUAUAUAGAUCUAUAUAGGUAGAGUCGGGAUAGUAUGUCCCGAUCUCUCAGCCGAUCCCACGCUUUCGUCAAGUUUCGUCGACUGACCGUGAACUUGCAAACACAAUAGCCAGAGACAGAAUAAAGAACUUUAAACCGAUAUAUGCCACAUAAAUAUAUGUAUAUGUAUGCCAGUUAAAAAAUAACCUUCGUGUGCAAACAGAAACCAAACUGUUUAAAUAUUUUAA
This is a long non-coding RNA of Drosophila ananassae, 2626 nucleotides long. RefSeq lists it as uncharacterized. The record is from RefSeq and is a predicted model, not a curated record. NCBI's taxonomy places the organism in Eukaryota, Metazoa, Arthropoda, Insecta, Diptera, Drosophilidae. The transcript has 2 exons.